RNAcentral lists this long non-coding RNA (1218 nucleotides) under Chrysemys picta bellii (western painted turtle). Its description in RNAcentral is "lncRNA (ENSCPBG00000012182.1)". Lineage: Eukaryota; Metazoa; Chordata; Testudines; Emydidae. The record is from RNAcentral.
GUAUCUUGUUAAUAUUUUGUUCCAUUUCAGGUGAUAUUUUAUUACUUUUGAUAACCAAGAAAAUAUGAAAUAAGUAAUUGGAUGGCAAAAAUUAGAGAUAGAGAGAGCCCAUUAGAAGCAACUAAUCUAUCCUCCCCUCCAAUACAGCAAUUUGCCACCCCAGGGGCCUGAUUUAUUAUGGCAUAAAUCCAUGGAAUUAUACUGAUGUAAAAUGGAGUAAUGCAGUUAUGAAUCGGGCCCAGUACGUUUUUCAAUGCUUUGUCCAGUCGUUUUCUCUAUCUUUUUAAUGUAAGAGCUACAUCAUGGUAAUGGAUGGGAAAGGAACUUUUUAACCAUGAUUUAGUUUCUUUUGACUCAUAAAACAUGAUAUUUUUGCAUACUAGUUUUUUCAGUUCAACAUGCAUAUUUAUGGUCACUAGCACUAAAUAAUCUUAGGCCUCACUUGAGCAAAAUACUUAAAAUAUGCCUAACUUUAAGCAUGUUAUAGUCCCACCAAAGUCAAUUAAAUUUAGGCAUGUGUUUAAAUAUGUUGCUGAAUUGGGGUCCUAAGGCAUGCAAACAGCAGUUCAGUUAUUGUUUGGUGAUAAAAUCCAAAUAUGGUAACUACCUACAUAUACAGACAACACACAUUUUUUGAAGCUGUCUUAUGUUUCUAAUCUAUUUUUUUGAAAAAUAAAUUAAAAUAGAUCUUGUUAAAAAAGCAAAAUUGUAAUCAAAUUAAAAGUUUAAACGAACCAUAAUAGUUUGGUCUGGUGAUCCGGUUGUAAUUUAGAAUUAAGUGCUGCCUAUAAAUGCUUGGCUGAUUGACUUCUAAUGCCAACUUUAUCUUCCUUGUUUAUUAUCAUGUCUUUAAGAGGGAACAGAACAUAUGGACUGCUAUAUGAAAUCAAUAUCCAUUUCACCAGACAUCUAAUUACAAUAACUUUCUACCCCAAGGAAAGAGAGCACUAAGCUUUUAUGAACACAAAAAGAUUGAAGAAUCAAAUCUCAGCAGCAGUGAAGAUGAAACUGAUAAAUGUUGGAACUUCAGAGGAGACUCUAAUUACAGCAUGCACAAUACGAAGCAUAAAUGCAGGAGCAGAGGGACAGGCUCAGUACGUGCCCUGCAUGUGCCCAGAAGAGAUCUACCACUGGUAUAUGUCAUGUGCCUGAUCUGCUUCAGGGAGUAAUUGAUUCACCUGGUUGCAGGAUCUACUCCAGGAUGUCACCUUGAGUCAU